Molecule: transfer RNA, 74 nt
Filed under: Esteya vermicola
Lineage: Eukaryota; Fungi; Ascomycota; Sordariomycetes; Ophiostomatales; Ophiostomataceae
Description: tRNA-Leu
Rfam family: tRNA
About the family: Transfer RNA (tRNA) molecules are approximately 80 nucleotides in length. Their secondary structure includes four short double-helical elements and three loops (D, anti-codon, and T loops).
Source: RNAcentral
AUUCGAGUGCUGAAAUUGGUAUACAGAGUAAGCUAAGGACUUAUAUGGUGGAGGUUCGAGUCCUCCUUCGAAUA